RNAcentral lists this ribosomal RNA (431 nucleotides) under Cylindroiulus tunetanus. Its description in RNAcentral is "partial 16S ribosomal RNA". Lineage: Eukaryota; Metazoa; Arthropoda; Diplopoda; Julida; Julidae. The record is from RNAcentral.
AUGGUUUCUUGGUGUUUAAUAAGAAAUUAGGCCUGCCCCCUGAUAAUUAUUAAAUGGCUGCAGUAUUUUGACUGUACAAAGGUAGCACAAUCAUUAGUCUUUUAAUUGUGGACGAGUAUGAAUGGUUAGACAAAUAAGUAUUAUUUAAUAAUAUAGUUUUUGAAAUUUCCUUUUCUGUUAAAAGGCAGAGAUAAGGCUAAUAGACAAGAAGACCCUUUUAAAUUUAAUUUUACUAGUUUAUAUAUUCUUAUUAAAAUGAUAGAAGGACUAAGUUAAAUUUUGUUGGGGCGACAGAUAUAAAGUAUCUAUAAGAGUAAUAACUAUAUUGAAUAAAUUUAAUUAUGAUCCUAGAUUAAGAUAAUAAAAUAAAUUACUGAAGGGAUAACAGCGUAAUGUGUUUUUAGAGUUCUUAUCAACAAAUAUGUUUGCGA